UGUGCUCAUCCGAUCGAAAGAGAGAGAACAAACUAUGCUUCCUUCAGACAAAAGAGUAAGAUGUACUAAAACAGAUAGUUACAGAUAUGAGAAGACAAAGGGAGAAAUCACAUAAUUCACUUCCUACUCUUUUACAUUUUUAUAUCCUUUAAAUAUCACUCAAGCAAACUAGAAACACCUCGGAAAGAGA
This is a non-coding RNA of Vicugna pacos (alpaca), 190 nucleotides long. NCBI's taxonomy places the organism in Eukaryota, Metazoa, Chordata, Mammalia, Artiodactyla, Camelidae. The record is from RefSeq and is a predicted model, not a curated record.